RNAcentral lists this long non-coding RNA (7902 nucleotides) under Nicotiana benthamiana. RNAcentral describes it as "long non-coding RNA (NBEN_LNC020649)". The record is from RNAcentral. Lineage: Eukaryota; Viridiplantae; Streptophyta; Magnoliopsida; Solanales; Solanaceae.
AUACAACAUUAUUCAAAAAACAUACAUAAUAUUUAAUAUCAAAAUUCAUAAGCAUUUUGAGCUUCCAUUGGAUUUCAGGACCGCAGAAUCACAUAUUACACAUUCAAGGUCUAAGAAGUGCCUGAAUAGUCAGCAAAAGACCAAAUGUUAGCUCGAAACUAAGAAAGAAUAGCAGAAAUGGACCAGCAACACCAAAAUCAAACCACAAGCUUCAAAUGAAAACCACUUUCAAACCAAGAAUUAGAAUAGCCUUCAGAAAUCCAAAAUAAACCUCACGAACUGUGGGAAAAUUUCACUGAAACAGUGAAUUUUCUGUACUUAGCCGUUUUCCUUUUCUUUGAUUUUCUAUCGCUUCAAAAUCUGCCUUGAAAGGCAAGAAUAAGAUGCCUUUAUAGGCAAGGCAAUAGAGCAACACAAAAGAGAUCAGAUUUGCACUUUAUCCCUUUUAAAUUAGGCUUUUACUCAAAAAGCCCCUCAAUUUUUGACUUGCUUGCCAAGCAAGUCUAUUUGUAGCAUCUAAGAAGCUUCCUCAUCUGUUACAAUAGGAUUCAUUUACCUAUUCUACCCAAGAUACCCCUGGACCUCUUCUUAAUUACCUUUCAAAGAUCACAUGAGUCAUGGGUCAACCUGACCUAAUAACUAAACUAGACCAAUAUGGGUCACGAGCCAAAUCCGUUUUGGGCUUAGUAGAUUUCAGGCUCAAAUUGAUCCAUAAAUAGAUAUCUAUAUUUAACGAGUCAAAGGAAAAACUCGUAACCCAUAAGGCAAAACCCAAAACCCAAAAUUAAAAAAGCAGUGGCUUAAUUAAUUUCAAACAAAAAUCAAAUGAAACAUGAUGAUUAUUGAACACUUAUGCAUGGACAGAAUUAAAACGAAUACAUAAUGAAAAAGAGAAAUGAUGAAGAAGGACCAGAAGUGGAAUGCACAAAUAAGGAAAAGUAAAAUGAAAGAAAAAGUACAGAAAACUAACAGAAGACUACCUAAAGGCUCAGGACAGACUCGAACCAGUUUUGAAAGGUCCUCUAAUUUUCCGACCGGAUUAGACCUUAUUCUUGUGUUUUCAUGUGAAAACACACGAGCAAGGUCCAGUAUUUUCUAAUAUUCUACAAAUUCAGCCCGUUGAAUUUGAGUUCGCAGAGUUAGGGCUUUCUUGUGAUCCAAUAUUCAACGAGUUCUAAGAGUGUUUGAGGGAAAAUAAUUAGGGAUUGGGGAAGAGGGGAUGGAAGAGAUCGAGGGGUGUUGUUUUGGGGUCAAUUGGUGGUGGCGCCACCACCGGAGGAACUGUGGUGGCGCUAGGGUUUUUAAAAUUUGGAGAUUUCUGGUGGGAUUUGAGGGAAACAGGGUGUGCUAUUGGAAUUAGGGAGGGGAGAAGAAGUUGUGGUGUGAAUUUUAGGCGUUUAGAGACUCGCUGCCGUCGUGGGGUGAUUUUCGGUGGCGGCUGGUAGCGGCGUUACAUGGGAGACUUAAGGGUUAUGAGAGACGAGUGAGGGGGGUAGCGGGACAUUUGGACAACUAUAUACUUAGUAUACCCUUGUUCCGUACCGUUGGAUCUCAAUGAUCCAAUGGUUGAUAUUUAAAUUACAUCGAACGGGGUCGUUUUGGUUUAAUGGGGGGACGGACCGGGUCAGGUGGAAUUGGGCUUGGUCUAGGCGUGUCUUGGAAUGGGUUUUAUGGUGUUUAGUUGGGCUGGAGACAGAUCAGCUAAUUUCAGCCCAAAAAUCCAUCUCUCCAAACUUUCUUUUCCAUUUCAAAUUAAUUUUCCAAAAUUCUUUUUAUUCUCUUUUUUCAAAAAUCAAAACUAAAACCGAAUUAAAUUAUCACAAAUGUUAACUGAUCCUAAGUAAUUACCACAAUUAAUAAAUUAAAGAAAAACAUACUCAAAAAUUACAAUUUAAAGGUGCAAAAUAACUAUUUUUGAGAUUUUCCCUCCCUUUAUUAUAAAAAAACUUAAUCACUUAAUUAAUCCUAAAAUUUUAUGUUAAAUCCUAAAUGCAAAUGCACAUAUUUUUUUGUAUUUUUUAUUAAUUAAACAAAAAUAAAAAUGCACAGACAAAUGCAAAUAAUUAGACAAAAAUGAUACAAAAAACCAUAAAAUUGCAAACAACGGCAAGAAUUAUUUUAUGCUGAAUUUGUGGGAGUUAUUCAUAUAGGGAAAAAAUCACGUACUCACAAUGGUCACCUGCAUCAAUAAGCUUCUAGACUGCUCUUUUCAGAUGCAAACACUUUUCUAUGUCGUGCCCCAGAGCAUUACAACAAUAUGCACAUCUUUGAGAAAAAUCAAAAUUCUUUCGAAAGCAUUUCGACAUAUUUAUCUGAACCGGCUUCAACAUAUCCAAUUGUCUCAUCCUUUGGAACAUACUAGCAUAUGAUUCUCCAAUAGGAGUUAAAGACUUUUCUCUUUACUACUGCCUUCUAAUUUUGUACUCCAACCUUGGUUGGAACCUUUUUCAGUUAGGGGGUUGAUAUGCUUUUAGAGAUGGGUAAGACAUUUGUGGAGGCAGUGCAAGCCGUUACAGGUUUCAUGGGUGUGGAGCAUAUGGCGGUGCAUUAUGGAUAGAGUACUAAGGAGGUGAGGUGUGACUUUGGAGAUUCUGUGGAGGAAAGUAGCAUUGGGGAGGAUUAUCUGGAGUAUGAGGAUAUUUAUGGGGUCGGUAUUGAGGCUAAUAGCAUUUAGCAGGAAUGCUCACUAAAUUCUAUAGUUGGCGGGAUUUAGCAACAUCUUUUCUACCAAUCAGAGAACUGACCCAAGCAACUUGUUCAUUCCAUCUAAACUAAAAACCCCUAAAGCCUUCCUUGGGUUUAUUUUCCAUCUAAGAUAGGGAGGAGCAGUCUGGGAUAAUGUCUACAUUGUACUAGUAGUGCUGAACAAAAUCUUGAUCCAUGUCACCUCAUGCAUGCCACUUACUAGCAUCUUGGGGGGGGGGGGGGUACCACNNNNNNNNNNNNNNNNNNNNNNNNNNNNNNNNNNNNNNNNNNNNNNNNNNNNNNNNNNNNNNNNNNNNNNNNNNNNNNNNNNNNNNNNNNNNNNNNNNNNNNNNNNNNNNNNNNNNNNNNNNNNNNNNNNNNNNNNNNNNNNNNNNNNNNNNNNNNNNNNNNNNNNNNNNNNNNNNNNNNNNNNNNNNNNNNNNNNNNNNNNNNNNNNNNNNNNNNNNNNNNNNNNNNNNNNNNNNNNNNNNNNNNNNNNNNNNNNNNNNNNNNNNNNNNNNNNNNNNNNNNNNNNNNNNNNNNNNNNNNNNNNNNNNNNNNNNNNNUUGGGGGGGGGGGUGUACCACUCCAGAGCUGCCCCACACGGACUCUAACUGAAAUACGCCAUCAAUAAUUCAUCUUUCCCACAAAUUUCCCUACAAUAAUCUCUCAGAUGGGCUACUGGAUCUUCAUGCUCAUCAUAUAAAUUAAACGUUGGCAUUUUAAACCCUUUAAGCUUUCUGGAUAUCUCACCUUGCUCCACUAUCUCAGCAGGCUUUGCAGUUUUACUGGGAGGCUCAAAAUGAGGAGAGAAAGAGUAUGGACCCGAGACGUUGAAAAUUGGUUUUGGAGCAUACUGUUGGACAUUGGGGACUUUGAACACAGUCUUGCUGGAGGAUUGAGGAAGAGUAGCUGGUGGAGGAGCUACAAAAACAUGAGUGGUCAAAGGAGCGGGAUGUGAUGUUCUUUUGAGGGGUGGAGUGUGAAAAAACUAUGGGGAGAUAUCAGCAGCGGUGGGAACCUGGGCUUGUGAUAGUGGUAGGAUAGUUGCAGAGUUUUCAGUGUAGUUAGUGGGGAGUGAAGGUGGAAGAUACCCCCUGAUCCAAGACUGAUACAUUUCUACCAUAUGCUGUUUCAACUUUUGGACCUUCUCUUUCAGUUCUGAUUCUGAUUCUACAAUCUCCCUUGGUGGGUGUACAACCCUAGUGGCUGUUUCUUUGCUAGCCAUAACUGUCUUGUGUUUUCUGGUGUUGUAUGAACGAAUCACGAAAGUGCCACAAACUAACCACCCUCUAUUAUAAUAACAAUGGCAGUAACAAGAGGAGCAAAACAAAUUCAACAUGUUAAGGUUUAGAGCAUUUAUCAGAUAGAAAUAUCAUGUUGCAUGAAAUGCUCCCUAGUUAGAGUUAAUGGUUCUAUAAUGGCUUCGAUGGUACGAAGGUCAUAUAGCAUCAUCCCAAUUUCACUCUUCUUUCCCCAUUUCCUUCUUCAUCUUCCUUUCUAACACCGCUUGGUUUUUUUUAUUUCAUUCCUCCUCUUUUCUUUCUGAUUAUCGCUCUUUUCUUUCCCUCAUUUCUCAUGUCCGCAAUUCCAUUCUCUCUCUUUUUCUUUCUUCUUCUAGUUUUUUUAGAUUCUUUUGGAAAAUGAUUCAAUCAAACCCUAUGUAGGUUUCCUACAUAUCAUGUCCCUCAUGAACCAGAUCAAGCGUAGUUUUGGAAAAAUAAUGGACAAAAUAAAUUAAGAAACAAAAAUCUUUUUGGAUUUUUCAUUUAUAACUUUUUUCGAUUUUCAAAUACAAAACAUGAAGUACGAUAAUGAGAGACUCGACCAACUAAAAUAUACUACAACAAUUCUGACACCAACUAAUUGACUGAAUACUACUGUAAAUGAUUAGGAAGUAAAACAUGAAUAAUAGACUCCAAAACAUAAAAAAAAGGCUCCUCAAGCACCUCCUGAAUGUAGUGGUCCGGGGUAUAUGUCAUGCUCGAGUAUUGGUACAUGGAUCCACACCUAAAUGAGAAAAAUAAGACCGAGUAAAUCAAUGACUCAAGACACUAUACGAUACCACAACACCUCAUGUAGGACACUCGCAAGACACGAUUGGGCUAUUUUUGAAAAUUAACCUACAUGGCCAAGAGUGGCUAGAAGUGCAAACUCAACAAAUGUGGCCUCAAAGACAUGGAAAUACCUCACUAUGGCUUAUAUGGAUUCAACUCCUAAUAAUCAUGGCCCAAAAUCAAUUUGCAGAAAUGACCCAUUUUGCAAAAAUGAUCGAUAUGGCCAGAAAUGGCUAAAGAUGCAAACUCAAUAAGGACGACCUUAAAAUAAUAUGACACCUAGUUGUGGACUCAAGAUCCUAAGACAUGGUUUAUCGAACCACUUUCGCGAAAAUGACCCUAUUUUGCAAGAAUGACUGAUGUGGCCAAAAGUGACUAGACAUUCAGGAUUUGACUAAGACCCCGCAAAGCCAAGAACCUAAGAUUUACUAGGAAGACCGGACCCUAAGUGGGUUUCCUAUAUAUCCCGCCCCAAAAUACGACAAUCAGAUAUGCAUAGUUCGGGAAAAUUGGAUAUGGGAGAACGCUUAAAAAAUGACACUAAUUUGGAAAAAAUAUAUUUUUUGUACUUUUGAAAAAUGUAAAAAAAUUUGAUUUUCCUUUUUUCUUUUUUGUUGAACUUUUUGGAAAAUGAUGGGAAAAUGUAAAUUUUUUUUAGGGAUUUUUUCAUUCUCAAUUUUUUUGUCUUUUCUUGAAAAGGUUAUGAAAGAAAAAUAUAAUUAGGCCUUACUUGCUUCAUUUUUACUGUUCUUUCCCAAACAUCGAUCCGACAAAUGAUCUUUUUACCCUCAAAGAUGCAACAUGUAUCACAUAGGGAUGAUUGAAUGUCUUUUUGGGCCACGGACCCCAUUUUUGACAUAAUUUAGAUAGGCUUCCUACAAAGGGAUACGGUGCUUGGAACCGAGCCCUACUAGGUCCAAAUAACAUGAUACAAAUUAGAAUGACCUAAAGGCUGACCUAAGUUUGGGGUUCGCUAAUAAGGCAAUUCGGGAGAGAGUAUGGUCGAUGAUGGCUGCUCAAGCUUUUCACCCACUCCAUACGUCCAACGGCCCCCCUCCCUCCUAAAAUAAGGGUGACUCAACAAAGAGUUUGUGCACAUGACGCGUACUCCGAGACUUAUUGCAGAAAGAAAACCCGUGGUUAUGCAAAUAAUGACAGUUUCUAAAGUAGUAACACAUAAAAAAAAACGAUAAACAAAUAACCAAAAAAACAAGGAAUAAAGAAAAAAACACCUUAACCAAAUAUCCUAAAAGCUAACAAGAUCAAGUACCACCUCAAACCUACAAUUCUCCAACACAGUCGCCAGAGCUGUCACACCCCUUUUUUACCAACUUCACUAACCCUCUUUAAAUAGUAAAAAAAUGACUUGUAAAGCUCGAAAGAGUUGUUAAUUAGAAAGUGACAACAAAUUGUGUGCAAAAGGAAAUAACUCAUAAUCGCCACCUGACAUUGGUUUCGGUGUGCCAGGUCACCGUUUUAUAAAAAUAAUUUUUUUCCUCUUUAAACACUUUGGACUCCAAAACUAAGUAUGCACCAGAGAUUCGGGUAAGGGGGUUCAUUUGAGUUGGGGAAAAUGUGUUAGCACUCCCCAGUCCCGUGAAAGUCACGGUUGCGUAAUCUAUAUAGUUGACUUUUAGAAUAUUUAGAUCGAGAUAAAAAUAAUCACGGAAAAUCAAAACAAACACACAUGAGGCUCGAGGUCAUCCACCUAAUAAAGGAACAUAAAGUAAAAUGAAAUAAAAAUAAAACAUUACAAAUCUAUAUGCACCUCCUCAAUGCUCGUCAAAGACUCCAAAAUAUUUACAAAGUUCUUCGGGACAUUUCUCAGAAAUAAAAUAUCUACAUAUCCUUCAGGGCAUUCCUCGGGAAAUUUAACUAAGGGAACGAUCUCUCGGCUCGAAACUAGCAAAAAUCCUAAAGAUUGCCUACCAGGUGUGACCGGCAUAGUCAUGCUCCUAACGAUCCAAUUAACGAGAGUAAUAAUAAAGAACAACAAAAUUAUAUCAAACUUAAUCUCAAAACAUAUGGCAGGUUCACAUGUAACCCUUAUCUUCCUCCAAUGUAAAUGUUUCUACAUUUCCCUCUAUGUAUAGUGUAAAAGGAAGCAAAAUCAUUGCAGUCAUUGGAUCCAUAUAUAAUAAUCGGUUUAUCGAGUGAAAUUUCCCAGUUUCAAAUGUUAAAAGCGAACUAAAUUCAUCUCCCUUUUUAACAUAACCCGAUCCCAGAUUUCACGACUAAUUUUAGCACAAGCUAGUUCGUAUAAAUCCAAACCAAUUGAUAUGAGCAGAAUUAACCAAGCAAAAUAUGAUUAACAUGGAUUAAACAAACAUUUCACCACAAACAACACAUAAGUUUUAAAGGAGAUAAAUUGAGCAGAGAACUGAAGAAUUGGACCUCAAGCAGAAUGUUGUCUCAACUGUUAAUAAGAACAACUCCGAAUCUGGUUCAUCAACUACGAAGGUAUUAAAAUAUAACAACAAACUCCGAUUAAAAUAUGUCUGGAAAGUAAAAAUAAGGACUAUAACUACACCUCGGACGGUGACUUCUUAAUCAAACUCCACGAUUUGAACACCAAAAUUCUGAAAUACAAACUGAAGAUGCAAAAUAUAUUUUUGUAUUUUCUGAGAUUUAAACCAAACUUAAAAACUAAAAAACGGCCUAAAAAUGAAAGAAGAAACUGAGUUUUUUUUUUCUUUUGCAACUCGCGACUGCUGGUGGUUGACGGUGGUGGUUGGUUUGAGCGGAGAGACUGCUGGUGUUAGCUAGUCGUUUGAGGGUGGUUGACUUGAGAUAGGGUCACUGGUGUUGUUUGUGAUGUCCGGUGGGUGGCGAUGGGUGAUAGGAGGCAGUGAAGUUGUCAGAUGCGGCAACUGUCUUACGGUUCUAGGUUCCAGGGUAUUGAUGUGUGAAGAAGAUGAUGUGAAAUCAGGGGUGUUAUUUUGUUGAUGGCGUCGCUCAUGGCUGCUCAUUGGGUCUAGGUUUUUUGGGUGUCCAAGAGGUGAAAGGUUCUCGUCUAGGAUUUGAGGUCUAAUGUCCAAAUGAAGAAGAAGAAGGUACUCCUCUCUCUCUAGCGUUAGGUUCCUCUGUCUGAUGGCUCUAAGUGUCAAAAGGAGGGGUUUUCUUUUGGGGUGGUCCUGGGUUAAGAAAUAUUGGGCUUGAC